Molecule: non-coding RNA, 1002 nt
Organism: Rattus norvegicus (Norway rat)
Lineage: Eukaryota; Metazoa; Chordata; Mammalia; Rodentia; Muridae
Source: RefSeq, a predicted model, not a curated record
UGUGGAGGUGCAAGGGCCAGAGCACAACUCUUCCGCCUUCCUCCUCACAGGACUCUGCCUCUCUACCUUUGUCACCUCCCCAAAAGGAGCAUGGAAACCUUGCAUCAUUAAGGACAGAGAGACACAUUCCAACUUUGCAGCAGAGAAUGGUUCACAACAGCAAGCAAACAGCACCGCUUCGUUUCUAUCGGCAGUUCAAAAUGGCAGCAGGAAAGAGGAUUAUCUGCAACAUGUUACGUAGACGUUACAAGUGGGCUGGUGCCCAGACGGAAGCAAUGGAUGUUGUUUAUGAGGCCAUCUGUCCAGGCCAGGAAUCACGUGUACAAGGAAAGUGGCAACGUCAAGGCCACAGAGAAAGAAAAGCUCAGGCCAAGGAGCUGAGACCUCGUGGUUGUGGCUCCCAGUCGCUUAUGACUCAGUCCAAGGAACAGAGAGAACUUCAAGGCAUUCUGAGCAGGACAGGCUCACAAACAAUUCUAACUUCCUUCCACCGUGACUUCAAAGAGCGCCGGUUGGCGAGACACAAAACCAAAGACUGGAGACUACGUUCUCUGCGUCAAGCACAUAUGAACAGAGAGGAGAUGGCAGAGUCAGUGACUGUCCUCCUCUUGGCAAGAUCUCUUCCACAGACAUAUUUUUAAGGUAAAAGCAACGAUCUAGCGCGAUCUGAUGAGAUUAGCCGUAAAGCCAGGCGUGACGGCACACACCAGUAACUUUAGCGCUGGGAGGCUGAGACAGUAGGAUCGAUGUGAGCUUGAGUGCCGGACAUUGAAAUUCAUCACGUUUCCUGUGGACACACAGCAGCCUGCCAGAUUCGACAUCUAGAACAUGCCCGCCAAGUCCCAGUGGAAGUGCUGCCAACUGGUCUCCAAGGAAACUGCACCAAUUUUCACUCCCAGCAGUAGUGAGUUCCUGGGGUUAAGCUUCCUCAUCAAUAGCCCACAUUUAAUUUUCUUGUCCAUCUGAAUGGUAAAAAACAAUGGUGUUUUGUUUCAACACGCA